UCAGCUGUGGGGCCACAGAAGGCAGGAUCGGUGAUGACCUCCACCAUGGCCUGGUCCCCUCUCCUCCUCAGCCUCCUCGCUCACUGCACAGGGUCCUGGGCCCAGUCUGUGCUGACUCAGCCGCCCUCCGUGUCUGGGGCUCUGGGCCAGAGGGUCACCAUCUCCUGCACUGGAAUCCCCACCAGCACGGAUUAUGAUGGAGAGGAAUACCAUUAUGUGAACUGGUACCAACAGCUCCUAGGAAAGGCACCCAUUCUCCUCAUCUCUGAUGAUGAUAGCAGAAACUCUGGGGUCCCUGAUCGAUUCUCUGGUUCCAAGUCAGAAAGCUCAGCCACCCUGACCAUCACUGGCCUUCAGGCUGAGGACGAGGCUGAGUAUUAUUGCCAGUCCUAUGAUAGCAAUCUCAAUACUCACACAGUGCUCCAGGCCUGUGGGGAAGUGAGACAAAAACUUGGUGUCCCCUUGGCAAUAGGGUUUCCUGUGAAGCCCCUACACCUUGGCUGUCAGCUGAUUCCUUUGUUUGCUGGUAUAAGCUGGAGUCUGAAACACAUUCUACGGCCUCUGUCUACAAAACCUGUCCCCGUUCUCUUAAAUUCAGCUUCCAAUGUCUGUCCUUGA
This is a non-coding RNA of Leptonychotes weddellii (Weddell seal), 618 nucleotides long. Lineage: Eukaryota; Metazoa; Chordata; Mammalia; Carnivora; Phocidae. The record is from the annotation of a RefSeq genome assembly.